Molecule: transfer RNA, 73 nt
Filed under: Collybiopsis luxurians FD-317 M1
Lineage: Eukaryota; Fungi; Basidiomycota; Agaricomycetes; Agaricales; Omphalotaceae
Description: tRNA-Leu (CAG) (tRNA-Leu-CAG-7-1)
Rfam family: tRNA
About the family: Transfer RNA (tRNA) molecules are approximately 80 nucleotides in length. Their secondary structure includes four short double-helical elements and three loops (D, anti-codon, and T loops). Further hydrogen bonds mediate the characteristic L-shaped molecular structure. tRNAs have two regions of fundamental functional importance: the anti-codon, which is responsible for specific mRNA codon recognition, and the 3' end, to which the tRNAs corresponding amino acid is attached (by aminoacyl-tRNA synthetases). tRNAs cope with the degeneracy of the genetic code in two manners: having more than one tRNA (with a specific anti-codon) for a particular amino acid; and 'wobble' base-pairing, i.e. permitting non-standard base-pairing at the 3rd anti-codon position.
Source: RNAcentral
GGUCAAGUAGCUCAGUUGGUUAGAGCACUGUCCCCAGAUGGCUGGGACCUGGGUUCAAUUCCCAGCUUGGUCA